CAGUCGCCGCGUUAAUACGAAGGGGGCUAGCGUUGUUCGGAAUUACUGGGCGUAAAGGGCGCGUAGGCGGCCAUUCAAGUUAGAUGUGAAAGCCCUGGGCUCAACCUAGGAAUUGCAUUUGAUACUGUUUGGCUUGAGUUCGGGAGAGGUGAGUGGAAUUCCCAGUGUAGAGGUGAAAUUCGUAGAUAUUGGGAAGAACACCAGUGGCGAAGGCGGCUCACUGGACCGACACUGACGCUGAGGCGCGAAAGCGUGGGGAGCAAACAGGAUUAGAUACCCGCGUAGUCCCUGUCUCUUAUAC
This 301-nucleotide ribosomal RNA is filed under the name uncultured bacterium. Its description in RNAcentral is "partial 16S ribosomal RNA". It matches the Rfam family "Bacterial small subunit ribosomal RNA", at positions 509 to 807 of the family's 1533-position model. The record is from RNAcentral.